GGGGGUGUAGCUCAGUUGGUUAGAGCGCCUGCCUGUCACGCAGGAGGUCGCCGGUUCGACCCCGGUCACUCCCGCCA
This 77-nucleotide transfer RNA is filed under the name Candidatus Pelagibacteraceae bacterium. RNAcentral describes it as "tRNA-Asp". It matches the Rfam family "tRNA". Rfam says of the family: Transfer RNA (tRNA) molecules are approximately 80 nucleotides in length. Their secondary structure includes four short double-helical elements and three loops (D, anti-codon, and T loops). Lineage: Bacteria; Pseudomonadati; Pseudomonadota; Alphaproteobacteria; Candidatus Pelagibacterales; Candidatus Pelagibacteraceae. The record is from RNAcentral.